UACAGAGGGUGCGAGCGUUAAUCGGAAUUACUGGGCGUAAAGCGUGCGUAGACGGUUAUUUAAGUCGGAUGUGAAAGCCCCGGGCUCAACCUGGGAAUUGCCUUUAAGACUGCAUCGCUUGAACAUCGGAGAGGUAAGUGGAAUUCCGAGUGUAGAGGUGAAAUUCGUAGAUAUUCGGAAGAACACCAGUGGCGAAGGCGACUUACUGGACGAUUGUUGACGCUGAGGUGCGAAAGCGUGGGGAGCAAACAGG
This 253-nucleotide ribosomal RNA is filed under the name uncultured bacterium. RNAcentral describes it as "partial 16S ribosomal RNA". It matches the Rfam family "Bacterial small subunit ribosomal RNA", at positions 524 to 776 of the family's 1533-position model. The record is from RNAcentral.